RNAcentral lists this ribosomal RNA (440 nucleotides) under uncultured bacterium. RNAcentral's name for it is "partial 16S ribosomal RNA". It matches the Rfam family "Bacterial small subunit ribosomal RNA", at positions 338 to 795 of the family's 1533-position model. The record is from RNAcentral.
CCUACGGGGGACUGCAGUGGGGACUAUUGCACAAUGGGGGCAACCCUGAUGCAGCGACGCCGCGUGAGUGAAGAAGUAUCUCGGUACGUAAAGCUCUAUCAGCAGGAAAGAAAAUGACGGUACCUGACUAAGAAGCCCCGGCUAACUAAGUGCCAGCAGCCGCGGUAAUACGUAGGGGGCAAGCGUUAUCCGGAUUUACUGGGUGUAAAGGGAGCGUAGACGGCGCUGCAAGUCCGGAGUGAAAGCCCAUGGCUUAACCAUGGUACUGCUCUGGAAACUGUAGAGCUUGAGUGCAGGAGAGGCAGGCGGAAUUCCUAGUGUAGCGGUGAAAUGCGUAGAUAUUAAGAGGAACACCGGCGGCGAAGGCGGCCUGCUGGACCGUAACUGACGUUGAGGCUCGAAAGCGUGGGGAGCAAACAGGAUUAGAUACCCUUGUAGUC